Molecule: long non-coding RNA, 171 nt
Organism: Lontra canadensis (Northern American river otter)
Lineage: Eukaryota; Metazoa; Chordata; Mammalia; Carnivora; Mustelidae
Exons: 3
Source: RefSeq, a predicted model, not a curated record
AGCUAGAUCCAGUACCCUACUGGCCCGGCAGCUGGUGGAAAGAAGGGCUUAGACAAUGUCUAAAAUGUCCAAAGGAGAGCACUCAAAGAAGGCAGAAUAUUCAAUGCUUCUCUGAGGAGCAAGCUGUUGAAGGAGCUGAAAAUAUUCAGCCAAGGAGCAUAUAGUAACCCA